Molecule: ribosomal RNA, 497 nt
Filed under: uncultured bacterium
Lineage: Bacteria
Description: partial 16S ribosomal RNA
Rfam family: Bacterial small subunit ribosomal RNA
Source: RNAcentral
GAUGAACGCUGGCGGCGUGCCUAAUACAUGCAAGUCAAGCGAACGGACGAGAAGCUUGCUUCUCUGAUGUUAGCGGCGGACGGGUGAGUAACACGUGGAUAACCUACCUAUAAGACUGGGAUAAUUUCGGGAAACCGGAGCUAAUACCGGAUAAUAUUUUGAACCGCAUGGUUCAAAAGUGAAAGACGGUCUUGCUGUCACUUAUAGAUGGAUCCGCGCUGCAUUAGCUAGUUGGUAAGGUAACGGCUUACCAAGGCAACGAUGCAUAGCCGACCUGAGAGGGUGAUCGGCCACACUGGAACUGAGACACGGUCCAGACUCCUACGGGAGGCAGCAGUAGGGAAUCUUCCGCAAUGGGCGAAAGCCUGACGGAGCAACGCCGCGUGAGUGAUGAAGGUCUUCGGAUCGUAAAACUCUGUUAUUAGGGAAGAACAUAUGUGUAAGUAACUGUGCACAUCUUGACGGUACCUAAUCAGAAAGCCACGGCUAACUACGUG